Molecule: ribosomal RNA, 1288 nt
Filed under: Allomuricauda sp. MAR_2010_75
Lineage: Bacteria; Pseudomonadati; Bacteroidota; Flavobacteriia; Flavobacteriales; Flavobacteriaceae
Description: bacterial SSU rRNA
Rfam family: Bacterial small subunit ribosomal RNA
Source: RNAcentral
CGCACGGGUGCGGAACGCGUAUGGAACCUGCCCCUGUCAGGGGAAUAGCCCAGGGAAACUUGGAUUAAUGCCCCAUGGUACCGUGAUAUCGCAUGAUAUUGCGGUUAAAGAUUUAUCGGACAGGGAUGGCCAUGCGUACCAUUAGUUAGUUGGUAAGGUAACGGCUUACCAAGGCAGCGAUGGUUAGGGGCCCUGAGAGGGGGAUCCCCCACACUGGUACUGAGACACGGACCAGACUCCUACGGGAGGCAGCAGUGAGGAAUAUUGGACAAUGGUGGGAACACUGAUCCAGCCAUGCCGCGUGCAGGAUGACUGCCCUAUGGGUUGUAAACUGCUUUUAUACGGGAAGAAACCUCCCCUCGUGAGGGGAGCUGACGGUACCGUAAGAAUAAGGACCGGCUAACUCCGUGCCAGCAGCCGCGGUAAUACGGAGGGUCCGAGCGUUAUCCGGAAUCAUUGGGUUUAAAGGGUCCGUAGGCGGGCCUGUAAGUCAGGGGUGAAAGUCUGUGGCUCAACCAUAGAAUUGCCUUUGAUACUGCAGGUCUUGAGUCAUGGUGGGGUUGCCGGAACAUGUGGUGUAGCGGUGAAAUGCAUAGAUAUCACAUAGAACACCGAUCGCGAAGGCAGGUGACCAACCAUGUACUGACGCUGAUGGACGAAAGCGUGGGUAGCGAACGGGAUUAGAUACCCCGGUAGUCCACGCCGUAAACGAUGGAUACUAGCUGUGGGGCAUUCGUGCUCCGUGGCCAAGCGAAAGUGAUAAGUAUCCCACCUGGGGAGUACGUUCGCAAGAAUGAAACUCAAAGGAAUUGACGGGGGCCCGCACAAGCGGUGGAGCAUGUGGUUUAAUUCGAUGAUACGCGAGGAACCUUACCAGGGCUUAAAUGCAGGCUGCAUGGGGUGGAGACACCCCUUUCUUCGGACUGCCUGCAAGGUGCUGCAUGGUUGUCGUCAGCUCGUGCCGUGAGGUGUCAGGUUAAGUCCUAUAACGAGCGCAACCCCUACCGUUAGUUGCCAGCAUGUAAAGAUGGGGACUCUAGCGGGACUGCCGGUGCAAACCGUGAGGAAGGUGGGGACGACGUCAAAUCAUCACGGCCCUUACGUCCUGGGCCACACACGUGCUACAAUGGCCGGUACAGAGGGAAGCCACCCCGCAAGGGGGCGCGGAUCUACAAAACCGGUCACAGUUCGGAUCGGGGUCUGCAACUCGACCCCGUGAAGCUGGAAUCGCUAGUAAUCGGAUAUCAGCCAUGAUCCGGUGAAUACGUUCCCGGGCCUUGUACACACC